UGAGCCUACGGGGCGCAGCAGUGAGGAAUAUUGGUCAAUGGUCGGGAGACUGAACCAGCCAAGCCGCGUGAGGGAGGAAGGUACAGAGUAUCGUAAACCUCUUUUGUCAGGGAACAAAGGCGGGGACGUGUCCCCGGAUGAGUGUACCUGAAGAAAAAGCAUCGGCUAACUCCGUGCCAGCAGCCGCGGUAAUACGGAGGAUGCAAGCGUUAUCCGGAUUUAUUGGGUUUAAAGGGUGCGCAGGCGGGCCUUUAAGCCGGCGGGGGAA
RNAcentral lists this ribosomal RNA (268 nucleotides) under uncultured bacterium. Its description in RNAcentral is "partial 16S ribosomal RNA". It matches the Rfam family "Bacterial small subunit ribosomal RNA", at positions 333 to 599 of the family's 1533-position model. The record is from RNAcentral.